This is a long non-coding RNA of Trachymyrmex septentrionalis, 882 nucleotides long. RefSeq lists it as uncharacterized. Lineage: Eukaryota; Metazoa; Arthropoda; Insecta; Hymenoptera; Formicidae. The record is from RefSeq and is a predicted model, not a curated record. The transcript has 3 exons.
GAGGAACUAAUAUUCAAUAUUGCAUCGUUUCCGGCACAUUCCGAUCGGCAUUUGUAUCGCCAUAUUUGUUAUGUCAAUGUCGUAGAUACAUUUUCCUGUGAUAAUAUUUGUAAUAAAACAUUAAACUGCAAGAAACAUUGUCAGAAGGUCUGUCAUCCGGGAUCCUGCGAGCUCUGUUCUGUGACGUCUGAAAGAGUCAAUGCGGUCAAAAACCAUUAACGGAAUAAAGAGAGAGUUGUAUGAAUCCUGUGCCGAUCUGCACAAAGCGCUUGAAAUGUGGCCAGCCUAAUAAUCCGCACAUCUACAAGGCUCCAUGUCACGUGAGGGAAUGUCCGGGAUGUGACUUGAACACUGAUGUCAAGUGUUGUUGUGAUAACAUGGACCGCAAGAUGGCUUGCAAGGACUUGACAAGACCGAUGAUACGUGCUCUGAGAAGCACUGCAAGAAGAAGAGAACCUGCGAUAAAUACAAUUGCAAUCAGCUGUGUAUCGACAUCGAACACAUCUGUCCAUUACUGUAUUCAGAGACUUUAAGCUGUGGUCGGCACAAGUUUCAGAAAAGAUGUCACAUGGGAAGAUGUUCGUCUUGCUUAGAGAGCAGCGUUGAAGAAUUGUAGUGUGAAUGCGGCGUCGAGGCGAUUUAUCUGCCGAUAUUAUAUGAUGUGAGAAGACCCAUUUGCAAUUGAUCGUGUUCGUGCGAACACCUUUGUGACCACGAAGUACACAACUGCCAUAGCGAGCCCACAUGUUCACUUUGCAGCGUCUUGACUCAUAGAUAGUGCAUGAUGGCAGACAUGACAAGACAAAGUUGCAUUUAUAAUGCAUAUUAUGUUAUUUAAAAAAUAAAAUGUGAAUUUGUGAAAAAAAGGAAACAUUAAAGUUA